CAGUCGCCGCGGUAAAACGUAGGUCCCGAGCGUUGUCCGGAUUUAUUGGGCGUAAAGCGAGCGCAGGCGGUUAGAUAAGUCUGAAGUUAAAGGCUGUGGCUUAACCAUAGUACGCUUUGGAAACUGUUUAACUUGAGUGCAAGAGGGGAGAGUGGAAUUCCAUGUGUAGCGGUGAAAUGCGUAGAUAUAUGGAGGAACACCGGUGGCGAAAGCGGCUCUCUGGACUGUAACUGACGCUGAGGCUCGAAAGCCAGGGGAGCGAACGGGAUUAGAUACCCCAGUAGUCCCUGUCUCUUAUACC
RNAcentral lists this ribosomal RNA (301 nucleotides) under uncultured bacterium. RNAcentral's name for it is "partial 16S ribosomal RNA". It matches the Rfam family "Bacterial small subunit ribosomal RNA", at positions 509 to 808 of the family's 1533-position model. The record is from RNAcentral.